UGGGGAAUUUUGCACAAUGGGGGAAACCCUGAUGCAGCGACGACGCGUGAUUUAGAAGGCCUUCGGGUUGUAAAAAUCUUUUCUAUGGGACGAAAAUGACAGUACCAUAGGAAUAAGGACCGGCUAAUUACGUGCCAGCAGCCGCGGUAAUACGUAAGGUCCGAGCGUUGUCCGGAAUCAUUGGGCGUAAAGGGUACGUAGGCGGGUAAGCAAGUUAGAAGUGAAAUCCUAUAGCUCAACUAUAGUAAGCUUUUAAAACUGCUCAUCUUGAGGUAUGGAAUGGAAGGUGGAAGUCCUAGUGUAGCGGUGAAAUGCGCAGAUAUAAGGAGGAAUACCGGUGGCGAAGGCGACUUUCUGGCCAUAAGCUGACGCUGAGGUACGAAAGCGUGGGUAGCAAACAGG
Molecule: ribosomal RNA, 402 nt
Filed under: bacterium
Lineage: Bacteria
Description: partial 16S ribosomal RNA
Rfam family: Bacterial small subunit ribosomal RNA
Source: RNAcentral